This 253-nucleotide ribosomal RNA is filed under the name uncultured Eubacteriales bacterium. Its description in RNAcentral is "uncultured Clostridiales bacterium partial 16S ribosomal RNA". It matches the Rfam family "Bacterial small subunit ribosomal RNA", at positions 524 to 776 of the family's 1533-position model. Lineage: Bacteria; Bacillati; Bacillota; Clostridia; Eubacteriales. The record is from RNAcentral.
UACGUAGGGGGCAAGCGUUAUCCGGAAUUACUGGGUGUAAAGGGAGCGUAGACGGUGAAGUAAGUCUGGAGUGAAAGCCCGGGGCCCAACCCCGGGACUGCUUUGGAAACUGUGAAGCUGGAGUGCGGGAGGGGCAGGCGGAAUUCCUGGUGUAGCGGUGAAAUGCGUAAAUAUCAGGAGGAACACCGGCGGCGAAGGCGGCCUGCUGGACCGUAACUGACGUUGAGGCUCGAAAGCGUGGGGAGCAAACAGG